UACGUAGGGGGCAAGCGUUAUCCGGAUUUAUUGGGCGUAAAGGGAACGCAGGCGGUCUUUUAAGUCUGAUGUGAAAGCCUUCGGCUUAACCGGAGUAGUGCAUUGGAAACUGGGAGACUUGAGUGCAGGAGAGGAGAGUGGAAUUCCAUGUGUAGCGGUGAAAUGCGUAGAUAUAUGGAGGAACACCGGUGGCGAAAGCGGCUCUCUGGCCUGUAACUGACACUGAGGCUCGAAAGCGUGGGGAGCAAACAGG
This 253-nucleotide ribosomal RNA is filed under the name uncultured bacterium. Its description in RNAcentral is "partial 16S ribosomal RNA". It matches the Rfam family "Bacterial small subunit ribosomal RNA", at positions 524 to 776 of the family's 1533-position model. The record is from RNAcentral.